This 2518-nucleotide ribosomal RNA is filed under the name Heteronema sp. RNAcentral's name for it is "partial small subunit ribosomal RNA". It matches the Rfam family "Eukaryotic small subunit ribosomal RNA". Lineage: Eukaryota; Euglenozoa; Anisonemea; Anisonemida; Anisonematidae. The record is from RNAcentral.
UCCUGCCAGUAGUGAUAUGCUUCUCUCAAGGAUUAAGCCAUGCAUGUAGCAAGGAAUGUGGAGCAAAAGGUCACUUGUGGCCUCUGCUGCGAGUCUGCAAAAGGCUCCUUAAAUCCAGCGAGAAUCUGAGGUGUGAAGCAGCAAGCUUCUGUUAUCAGAGCAAAGCCAUGUGGAUAUUCAGGCUAACUGACUGCUUAAUACAUGGAAGAGCAAGUCCCUCUCUCUAGGGCACAGCAGUACCCUUUUGACCACCUAUUUGCUUGUUCACUUGCACAGCAAAUUGGGUGUGAGAUAGGGCUGGAGCAGGCUGUUUCAAAGACCAUUGCCCAAAAGGCAGUGUUGCAUUGAUGAUUCAGGCCUGUUGGAAAGGCUGGUUCUUGAUGCUCUGCAUUAGGUCAGCCUGUCUCUUAAAGCUGGGGCUGUGCCAUCAUUUUGGUGCCCAGUUGAAGUCUUGUUGACUUGACCUUAUCAAGGUUGAACCAAUUUGCUUCUACUGGUAUCCCCAGUGUCACACCUUGACCCUCUGUUCUAUCAUGCUGCAGAUGGUUAGGUAUUGGCUGACCAUGGCUUUCACAGAUAACGGGUGAUUAGGGUCAGAUCCCAGAGAGGGAGCCUGAGAGAUGGCUCCCACUGCCAAGGCAGGCAGCAGGCACGAAAAUUGCCCAAUGAGAACACAACUUUGAGGCAGCAAUGAGCCAUGGCAGUACUGAAACCAAAAGGUUCUCAGUGCUUGCAAUGGAUGUAUUACUCAAACCCCUCACUGAGUAUCCACUGGAGGGCAAGUCUGGUGCCAGCAGCCGCGGUAAUUCCAGCUCCAUUAGUGUAUGCUAACUUUGUUGCUGUUAAAAAGCUCGUAGUUGACUACAGAAUGGCCUGCUGCUGCAGGCAAGCUGCUUGAUUGAUUCGUGCCAAGCUGGCUUGAUCAUGGUUGGCAGUGCUAUUCUUUGGUACUGGCAAGGUUACAAGCCUUGGUUUGUGCCCUGUCCAAGACCUUGGGAUGCAGUGCCCCCCUUCAGUAGUAUGGUCAUUCACCUGGUUUCAGGAUGGGUUCCAGCCUAUGGCCAAGGCAUCAGCCAAUGGCCUCCUUUGUUGGCAGGCUAUGCUGUUGCACAAUGCCCACCCUCACUGCAGGUGUGCAUGCCUUUCUUGGGCAUGAUGUAAUGACAAGCUUUCAGCUUGCUUCAUUGCAGACUGCUUCUUAAAGAAUGGCCAAGUGGUGCUGGGUCAUCCAGUGCCAAGUACCAGGCUGCCCAUCAAUGCUGACAUGAACAAAACAGUGUGUCCAAGGCAAUUGCAACUUCUUUCCAAUGAUGGCAUGGUUUAGCAUGAAACAGCAGGGUAUCAUCCACUUGAUGCUGAGUUUUUAAUGGUCUUCUUGGCCUUUUGGUGGAGAACUUGAGUUCAUGGGUAAAGGGCACUGCCAUUAGCAUCAGUCCCCUGGGCUCUUGCUGGGGUUUGCCUACUUGCCCAUGCUCUGUGGAAGCAAUGAGGCAGUAAGGGGUAACAUGAACUGUGACACGAGAGGUGAAAUUCUUAGACUGUCACAGGUCAACCAGCAGCAAAGGCUUGUUACAAGGCCCUGUCUAUCAAUCAAGAACUUCAGUGCAGGGAGCCAAGAUGAUCAGAUACCGUUGUAGUCUGCACCAUAAACAGUGCCAGCUUGGUCUUGGGAGCAGACUCCAUCCCUGGCGCCCCCAGGACCUUCCCCAUCACUGAGAAAUCCAAAGCUUUUGGGUUCAGGGGGAAGUACUGUUGCAAGGCUGAAACUUAAAGGAAUUGACGGAAUGACACCACCAGGUGUGGAGUAUGCGGCUUAAUUUGACUCAACACGGGGAAUCUUAUCAGGCCAGGAUGCUGGAAGGAUGGACAGACUGAAGGCUCUUUCUUGAUUCUUUAGAUGGUGGUGCAUGGCCGCUCCUGGUUGGUGGAGUGAUUUGUCUGCUUGAUUGCGUUAACGAGCGAGAACUCUGCCUCCCAAUAGUCCCCUUUCUUGCCCUUGUAGGGCUCAGUCCUGGACAACUGUUUUCUCAGCCUGGACAGGUCAGCUGGCCUGAAAGCUAAGGGUUUGUUCUUCUUGGAAAGAUUGAUUAUGGGGCAUUGCAACAAACAAAAGUGCUAGCAAGUUGGAGUCGACAGCAGGUCUGUGAUGCUCCUAGAUGUCCUGGGCUGCACGCGCACCACAAUGGGCUGAAGCAGUGUGUUGAUUUAUAUCCCCUUUGGCUCCUUGAGGGCUGAAGGGCCUUGCCUCAAAAGGCUGGGAAAUCACUCAAUUCAGUGCAGUGACAGGGAUUGCUGACUGCAACAGUUGCCUUGAACGAGGAAUACCUAGUAAGAGCAGGUCAUCAGCCUGCUCUGAUUAUGUCCCUGCCAUUUGUACACACCGCCCGUCGUUGCUAUCGAUGGGGUUGGGACAGAGGACUCCAGAGGUUAUGUUCUGGUUAUCAAUGAUUGCCUUACAAGGGACUGGCUAAAGUUGUUCAAUGUUCUUAUCCUAGAGAAAGCAAAAGUCGUAACAAGG